CGGAUAGAGCUAGCGAACUCGUUCGUAUUCAGCCAACGGUUCUGGGUUCGGUUUUGUUGUGUUUCAGUUUUGUGCACGCAGGAUCGAGCGCCUAGGUUCCAAGGUGCAUUUGCGGACGAUUGCGCCGAGACUUGUCGGGCAGCGGUAGGACCCGGUUCAUGAGGCCUCCUUUUGGUUGUACCCUGAACUGGUUUACGACUGUUUGCUCUGCUCGUAAUGUUGGUUCGGCCUCGGGUGAAACUGCCGUUGGCGUUCUCUUGUGGUGGCAACAGCACGCUUUGCCUAACUUGGGGAUUCCGGCUGCGGUGUAGCUCUCGAACUGUCUCUCGGUGUAAAAGCUGGUCAUCUAUCCGACCCGUCUUGAAACACGGACCAAGGAGUUUAGCGUAUGUGCGAGCCACUGGGUAUUGCAAAACCUAUGGGCACAAUGAAAGUGAAGGCUCGGUCGCCGAGCUUACAUGCGACUGUGCCAGCUUCGGCUGGUGCGGGCAGCAUGGUCCCGUUUCAGUCGCUUGCGACGGAGCGGAGACAGAGUGCAUGCGCUGAG
This 547-nucleotide ribosomal RNA is filed under the name Tylenchulus semipenetrans. Its description in RNAcentral is "partial 28S ribosomal RNA". It matches the Rfam family "Eukaryotic large subunit ribosomal RNA", at positions 386 to 813 of the family's 3401-position model. Lineage: Eukaryota; Metazoa; Nematoda; Chromadorea; Rhabditida; Tylenchulidae. The record is from RNAcentral.